UUGAACCCCAUAAGAGGUCCAGCCUGCCCAGUGACCCUGUUCAACGGCCGCGGUAUCCUAACCGUGCGAAGGUAGCGUAAUCACUUGUUCUUUAAAUGUGGACUAGUAUGAAUGGCAUCACGAAGGUUAUACUGUCUCCUUUUUCUAAUCAGUGAAACUAAUCUCCCCGUGAAGAAGCGAGGAUAAAAAUAUAAGACGAGAAGACCCUAUGGAGCUUUAAACAAAGUAGCACUCGCCACAUAAAUGAAAAAUUCCAGAAUCACCAUCUUCCUCAGGCAAUCUGACUACACGUUUUUGGUUGGGGUGACCGCGGAGUAUAACACAACCUCCAUGUUGAAAGAAAGCUUUCUAAACUAAGAGCUACACCUCUAAGUAUCAAAAGAUUGACAUCCAUUGACCCAAUAAAUUUGAACAACGAACCAAGUUACCCUAGGGAUAACAGCGCAAUCCACUUCAAGAGCUCCUAUCGACAAGUGGGUUUACGACCUCGAUGUUGGAUCAGGGUCUCCCAGUGGUGCAGCCGCUACUAAAGGUUCGUUUGUUCAACGAUUAAAACCCUACGUGAUCUGAGUCAGAC
RNAcentral lists this ribosomal RNA (577 nucleotides) under Duttaphrynus melanostictus (Asian common toad). Its description in RNAcentral is "partial 16S ribosomal RNA". It matches the Rfam family "Bacterial large subunit ribosomal RNA", at positions 1836 to 2616 of the family's 2925-position model. The record is from RNAcentral. Lineage: Eukaryota; Metazoa; Chordata; Amphibia; Anura; Bufonidae.